This 491-nucleotide ribosomal RNA is filed under the name uncultured bacterium. RNAcentral describes it as "partial 16S ribosomal RNA". It matches the Rfam family "Bacterial small subunit ribosomal RNA", at positions 29 to 507 of the family's 1533-position model. The record is from RNAcentral.
AGUGAACGCUGGCGGUAGGCCUAACACAUGCAAGUCGAACGGCAGCACAGUAAGAGCUUGCUCUUACGGGUGGCGAGUGGCGGACGGGUGAGGAAUACAUCGGAAUCUACUUUUUCGUGGGGGAUAACGUAGGGAAACUUACGCUAAUACCGCAUACGACCUACGGGUGAAAGCAGGGGAUCUUCGGACCUUGCGCGAUUGAAUGAGCCGAUGUCGGAUUAGCUGGUUGGCGGGGAAAGGCCCACCAAGGCGACGAUCCGUAGCUGGUCUGAGAGGAUGAUCAGCCACACUGGAACUGAGACACGGUCCAGACUCCUACGGGAGGCAGCAGUGGGGAAUAUUGGACAAUGGGCGCAAGCCUGAUCCAGCCAUACCGCGUGGGUGAAGAAGGCCUUCGGGUUGUAAAGCCCUUUUGUUGGGAAAGAAAAGCAGCAGAUUAAUACCCCGCUGUUCUGACGGUACCCAAAGAAUAAGCACCGGCUAACUUCGUG